This 472-nucleotide ribosomal RNA is filed under the name Neisseria mucosa. RNAcentral describes it as "bacterial SSU rRNA". It matches the Rfam family "Bacterial small subunit ribosomal RNA", at positions 30 to 490 of the family's 1533-position model. Lineage: Bacteria; Pseudomonadati; Pseudomonadota; Betaproteobacteria; Neisseriales; Neisseriaceae. The record is from RNAcentral.
AUUGAACGCUGGCGGCAUGCUUUACACAUGCAAGUCGGACGGCAGCACAGAGAAGCUUGCUUCUUGGGUGGCGAGUGGCGAACGGGUGAGUAAUAUAUCGGAACGUACCGAGCAGUGGGGGAUAACUAAUCGAAAGAUUAGCUAAUACCGCAUAUAUUCUGAGGAAGAAAGCAGGGGACCAUUUGGCCUUGUGCUGUUUGAGCGGCCGAUAUCUGAUUAGCUAGUUGGUGGGGUAAAGGCCUACCAAGGCGACGAUCAGUAGCGGGUCUGAGAGGAUGAUCCGCCACACUGGGACUGAGACACGGCCCAGACUCCUACGGGAGGCAGCAGUGGGGAAUUUUGGACAAUGGGCGCAAGCCUGAUCCAGCCAUGCCGCGUGUCUGAAGAAGGCCUUCGGGUUGUAAAGGACUUUUGUCAGGGAAGAAAAGGGCGGGGUUAAUACCCCUGUCUGAUGACGUACCUGAAGAAUAAG